This 85-nucleotide ribosomal RNA is filed under the name Disa vaginata. RNAcentral's name for it is "partial 25S ribosomal RNA". It matches the Rfam family "Eukaryotic large subunit ribosomal RNA", at positions 1 to 82 of the family's 3401-position model. Lineage: Eukaryota; Viridiplantae; Streptophyta; Magnoliopsida; Asparagales; Orchidaceae. The record is from RNAcentral.
GCGUGACCCCAGGAUGGGCGGGGUGACCCGCUGAGUUUAAGCAUAUCAAUAAGCGGAGGAGAGGAAACUUACAAGGAUUCCCCUA